CCUACGGGAGGCAGCAGUAGGGAAUCUUCCACAAUGGGCGAAAGCCUGAUGGAGCAACGCCGCGUGAGUGAUGAAGGCCUUCGGGUUGUAAAACUCUGUCAUUCGGGACGAACCGGAGUCUGAGGAAAUGCAGACUCUCUGACGGUACCGGAGGAGGAAGCCCCGGCUAACUACGUGCCAGCAGCCGCGGUAAUACGUAGGGGGCAAGCGUUGUCCGGAUUCACUGGGCGUAAAGCGCGCGCAGGCGGUGAUGUAAGUCUGAGGUGAAAACCCGAAGCUCAACUUCGGGACUGCCUUGGAUACUGCGUCACUUGAGGAUAGGAGAGGCAAGGGGAAUUCCACGUGUAGCGGUGAAAUGCGUAGAGAUGUGGGGGAACACCUGUGGCGAAGGCGCCUUGCUGGCCUAUUUCUGACGCUGAGGCGCGAAAGCGUGGGGAGCAAACAGGAUUAGAUACCCUGGUAGUCCACGCUGUAAACGAUGAGUGCUAGGUGUAGGUGGGCUCAUACCACUCUGUGCCGACGCGUAGCGCGAUUAAGUAACGACGUCCGUUCCGUUCGGGGUAGGGUUACGGGUUCGGCGAGACGUUGAACGUUACGAAGUUAGAGUUAGACGGCGUUGAGACGUUGCCGACGGACGACGACGAGGGGAGGUAGG
Molecule: ribosomal RNA, 655 nt
Filed under: uncultured bacterium
Lineage: Bacteria
Description: bacterial SSU rRNA
Rfam family: Bacterial small subunit ribosomal RNA (bases 1-547)
Source: RNAcentral